CAUAUCCCUGAAACAUUUUUG
This 21-nucleotide non-coding RNA is filed under the name Caenorhabditis elegans. Lineage: Eukaryota; Metazoa; Nematoda; Chromadorea; Rhabditida; Rhabditidae. The record is from RNAcentral.